Molecule: ribosomal RNA, 615 nt
Filed under: uncultured bacterium
Lineage: Bacteria
Description: bacterial SSU rRNA
Rfam family: Bacterial small subunit ribosomal RNA
Source: RNAcentral
AGUCGAGCGGUAGAGAGAAGCUUGCUUCUCUUGAGAGCGGCGGACGGGUGAGUAAUGCCUAGGAAUCUGCCUGGUAGUGGGGGAUAACGUUCGGAAACGGACGCUAAUACCGCAUACGUCCUACGGGAGAAAGCAGGGGACCUUCGGGCCUUGCGCUAUCAGAUGAGCCUAGGUCGGAUUAGCUAGUUGGUGGGGUAAUGGCUCACCAAGGCGACGAUCCGUAACUGGUCUGAGAGGAUGAUCAGUCACACUGGAACUGAGACACGGUCCAGACUCCUACGGGAGGCAGCAGUGGGGAAUAUUGGACAAUGGGCGAAAGCCUGAUCCAGCCAUGCCGCGUGUGUGAAGAAGGUCUUCGGAUUGUAAAGCACUUUAAGUUGGGAGGAAGGGCAGUAAAUUAAUACUUUGCUGUUUUGACGUUACCGACAGAAUAAGCACCGGCUAACUCUGUGCCAGCAGCCGCGGUAAUACAGAGGGUGCAAGCGUUAAUCGGAAUUACUGGGCGUAAAGCGCGCGUAGGUGGUUAGUUAAGUUGGAUGUGAAAUCCCCGGGCUCAACCUGGGAACUGCAUUCAAAACUGACUGACUAGAGUAUGGUAGAGGGUGGUGGAAUUUC